RNAcentral lists this unclassified non-coding RNA (220 nucleotides) under plant metagenome. Its description in RNAcentral is "partial contains small subunit ribosomal RNA, internal transcribed spacer 1, and 5.8S ribosomal RNA". The record is from RNAcentral.
UUUCCGUAGGUGAACCUGCGGAAGGAUCAUUACAGAGUUCAUGCCCUCACGGGUUGAUCUCCCACCCUUGAAUAUUUAUACCUUAGUUGCUUUGGCAGGCCGUGGAAACACCAUGGGCUCCGGCUUAUGCGUGCCUGCCAGAGGAAACAAACUCUGUUUUUAGUGAUGUCUGAGUACUAUAUAAUAGUUAAAACUUUCAACAACGGAUCUCUUGGUUCUG